CAAGAAGUAGUUUAAUAAGAACAUCAGCUUUGGGCGCUGACGACGAAGGUUAAGCCUUCCUUCUUGA
This 67-nucleotide transfer RNA is filed under the name Cricetulus longicaudatus (long-tailed hamster). Its description in RNAcentral is "tRNA-Pro". It matches the Rfam family "tRNA". From Rfam's summary of the family: Transfer RNA (tRNA) molecules are approximately 80 nucleotides in length. Their secondary structure includes four short double-helical elements and three loops (D, anti-codon, and T loops). Lineage: Eukaryota; Metazoa; Chordata; Mammalia; Rodentia; Cricetidae. The record is from RNAcentral.